This 253-nucleotide ribosomal RNA is filed under the name uncultured Akkermansia sp. RNAcentral describes it as "partial 16S ribosomal RNA". It matches the Rfam family "Bacterial small subunit ribosomal RNA", at positions 524 to 776 of the family's 1533-position model. Lineage: Bacteria; Pseudomonadati; Verrucomicrobiota; Verrucomicrobiia; Verrucomicrobiales; Akkermansiaceae. The record is from RNAcentral.
UACAGAGGUCUCAAGCGUUGUUCGGAAUCACUGGGCGUAAAGCGUGCGUAGGCUGUUUCGUAAGUCGUGUGUGAAAGGCGCGGGCUCAACCCGCGGACGGCACAUGAUACUGCGAGACUAGAGUAAUGGAGGGGGAACCGGAAUUCUCGGUGUAGCAGUGAAAUGCGUAGAUAUAUGGAAGAACACCAGUGGCGAAGGCGACUUUCUGGACUGUACCUGACGCUGAGGCGCGAAAGCGUGGGUAGCGAACGGG